UUUUAACACAUCAUUGAUUAAAUCUAAAAUUGAUACGUUGGAAAAUUAUGCAAAAAAAAAUCAGUUACAUAAAUUAAGAAGAGAUAAAUUGUUUGAAGUUUUUAAAUUGUAAAUAGCUUUUUUUUUUUUUUUUAUUUUAUUUUUUUUUUUAAAUAGCAAAAUAAAAAUUCAAACAAAUGGAAUUAAUUUUUUUAUUUUCCUUGCUUAUCAGAUCUAAAACGGAAGAAGAUUAUAAAUUGUCGUUGCAUUUAUUAAAUGUAUAUUACAAUUUUGGAAGAAAUUUAAAUACCCAGCAAGAUGUUGAUUUAUUUUUUACAUCCAUUUUGAGGACAAAUCAACUAAAUGAAGCAAAAGAUGUAUUAUAAAUGCCUUAUAAAUAAAAAAAAAAAAAAAAAAAAGACAACAUCUUAUCAUGCAUCAUAUACAUAUAUAUGUAUGUAUAUAUAAUGAUAACUUCAAUAUAUUAUAUUAAUCGUCCAGAUUAAUAAAUAACACAUAUAUUUUGUUUUUUAUUUUAUUUUAUUUAAUUUAUUUUAUUUUUUUUUUUUUUUUAAGUUUUUGAAGUAUUUUAACGGGUGGUUAUUAUGUCCUCCUUCAAACAAAUUGAUUUUACUAUGUAUGGAGGAAUUUUUUCGAAAAAAAAAUUUUAUGAAGUCAGGGAAAUUUUUUCUUUUAUUAGACAGAAUAAGUUAUAAUUUAUUAAAAACAAAAAUUUAUCCAAAUGUGCUUUUUAAAUAUAUAUUUAUGUGAAAAACAGGAAAAGAAAUUAUAGUUUUAUUAUGUUCUAUACCCUUUUCUUUAUUCGGUUCUGCUUUUAUUCUGUUCUUGUCCUGAUUUGUUUUGAUUUGUUUUGAUUUGUUUUGAUUUGUUUUGAUUUGUCUUGAUUUGCCUUGAUUUAAUUUUUUUUUUUUUUUUGAUUUAAUUUUUUUUUUUUUUUUUUUGAAUAGCCAAAUAAAGUUAGAAAGUUCUUUUUAUUCCAUAACAAUAAAAUCCAUGCUGAUGAUAAAUAAAGACCCCAUAGAAGAAUCUAUGAUAAUAUAUGAUGAUUCUUAUAAUAUGGGCAUAUAUUUAACAAAUGAAAUACAUAAUUUAUUAUUAGAACAUAAUUUAUAUUACUAUCAUAAUGAGAAAAGCAAAAACAUAGAGAAUAAUAAAAAAUUGGAUUUUUAUAAAGAGAAUAUACAAGGAAUCAUUAUACGACUAACAAAUGAAUUAAUUAAAAAUAGGACAUACGUUAAGUUAUCGUCUAAGAGUUUGAGUUUGUUCGCAUGGGCAUACAUUUAUUUUGACAUAAAACAGAUAAUCGCAAAAUCUGAUAACAGAUUAGUUGAAGUUGAACAUUGUAACACUUGGUUAGACAUAAUAAAACUGGCAUGUUUGUACAACCAGAUAUCCGAAUGUCACACAAGCCCAUUUUCAGUAGAAUUUAAAGAUGUUCUUAGAAAUAUGAAGGAUGAUGAAAAUGCAGUUAAGGCCUUAGAAUAUAUUAGCAUUUACUUUUAGAAAAGAGAAGUAGGAUAUAACAAUAUUCUUGUUUUUUAUUUUUAAACUUGCAAUUUUGAAUAUAUAUACAUAAAAUAAUACCUUGUCUUUACAUUUUUAAAAUAAAUUAAAAAAUUAUACAUAUAAAUGCUUUCCA
This is a long non-coding RNA of Piliocolobus tephrosceles (Ugandan red Colobus), 1639 nucleotides long. The record is from Ensembl. NCBI's taxonomy places the organism in Eukaryota, Metazoa, Chordata, Mammalia, Primates, Cercopithecidae.